This 539-nucleotide long non-coding RNA is filed under the name Phoenix dactylifera (date palm). RNAcentral describes it as "long non-coding RNA (PDAC_LNC002680)". Lineage: Eukaryota; Viridiplantae; Streptophyta; Magnoliopsida; Arecales; Arecaceae. The record is from RNAcentral.
UGCACAAAUUAGAAGGUGACACUAAAUAAAGGAGAAGGGUAUACGGUUGUGAGUGGAUUGAAUGCUAUGGCGCUUCCAUUAACUCCAACUUCCACAUUCGCAUCGCCUAAAGAACCCAACUUUAAAGCACCCCAACAUCCCCUUUAAACCCUAAUUUAUGAGAAGCACGCCCCGUGAAAUAAAUAGACACCCUCCCCUUCUCCUUCUAAUAAACCCCCUCCUUAAAUUCCUGAGGGCAGAUUUCCCAAUUGCCCCAUCUAAUUAACGUAAAAUUAAUGCUCAUGCCAUUGAUUGCCUUAAGUCUUGUUUUUCCCCCUCAAUUCAACCCUCUCACCUUACCUAUUAGAUAUGGCUGACGCAAGAGGAGGGAUUUUCUAGGAUGCAUUUUAUAUUUGAUUUUCUGAUGAACGAUUGUGAUGGCUUUGUUUUUUCCUAUAAAUAUCUUUUCUCAGGCAAUCAUGUGAGAGAUGGAUGCAUGCAUGGAUGGAUUGGAUAUACAGAGAGAAUGCAUGCAUGGAUGGAUAUACACACACGCAAAG